This 297-nucleotide long non-coding RNA is filed under the name Numida meleagris (helmeted guineafowl). Its description in RNAcentral is "lncRNA (ENSNMEG00000007460.1)". Lineage: Eukaryota; Metazoa; Chordata; Aves; Galliformes; Numididae. The record is from RNAcentral.
UCAGGCCCAUCUUCCUAGAAAGUAAACUGAGAUCACCUAGUUUUGUCACAUCACAAUUGGCUUAAAUAGUCAGUCAAGACUUGGUGAUAGCUGUAAUUAGUUACCAGAAGAGGAGAGGUCAACUUCUUCCCAGUGCUUGGCAUGCUGCUGUUGGUGCUCCUUUUGCCACCAAGCUGUCCCGCUCAGCCACCGUUCUUGGAGCACCAAAGGCACAUAGAUUCACACAUUUUAUUUUGGACAGAACCUCUAGUGUGGACAUGAAACAUCACUAAAUGUGGGGACCGGUUUCAACUAAAU